This 465-nucleotide ribosomal RNA is filed under the name Vreelandella stevensii. RNAcentral's name for it is "partial 16S ribosomal RNA". It matches the Rfam family "Bacterial small subunit ribosomal RNA", at positions 338 to 795 of the family's 1533-position model. The record is from RNAcentral. Lineage: Bacteria; Pseudomonadati; Pseudomonadota; Gammaproteobacteria; Oceanospirillales; Halomonadaceae.
CCUACGGGCGGCUGCAGUGGGGAAUAUUGGACAAUGGGCGAAAGCCUGAUCCAGCCAUGCCGCGUGUGUGAAGAAGGCCUUCGGGUUGUAAAGCACUUUCAGUGGGGAAGAAAGCCUUGGGGCUAAUACCCUCGAGGAAGGACAUCACCCACAGAAGAAGCACCGGCUAACUCCGUGCCAGCAGCCGCGGUAAUACGGAGGGUGCGAGCGUUAAUCGGAAUUACUGGGCGUAAAGCGCGCGUAGGCGGUCUGAUAAGCCGGUUGUGAAAGCCCCGGGCUCAACCUGGGAACGGCAUCCGGAACGGUCAGGCUAGAGUGCAGGAGAGGAAGGUAGAAUUCCCGGUGUAGCGGUGAAAUGCGUAGAGAUCGGGAGGAAUACCAGUGGCGAAGGCGGCCUUCUGGACUGACACUGACGCUGAGGUGCGAAAGCGUGGGUAGCAAACAGGAUUAGAUACCCUAGUAGUC